Chelonia mydas (Green sea turtle) is the source of this 5390-nucleotide long non-coding RNA. RefSeq lists it as uncharacterized. NCBI's taxonomy places the organism in Eukaryota, Metazoa, Chordata, Testudines, Cheloniidae. The transcript has 3 exons. The record is from RefSeq and is a predicted model, not a curated record.
CUUCACUUUACCUUUGUGGGAGGGGGGGAGGUGGCUUUCUCCUUCUCCCACUGUGCUGGCUCCCUGCACUCCUGGGCACGUUCUGCCACUCUACCUGGCAGCCGCUCCGGGCAGAGAGCGGGACGGAGCCGACUUCUGGGGACAGGAGCCAAGCAUGCUGGGGGGAGGGAAAGGAAAGGCUUGGGCUCAACUUAAAAAAAUACUCCUUUUGGUAGAAAGGAAACUUUUGCCUUCCCUAAAUAGGGCCCAUUUUAUUUGCACUGCUUUGUGUGCAACAGGCUCUGUUUUAACUAUCCUAUCUAAGAGUUUCACACUACACUAUUGUAAACCAAAUUGCUGGUAACAGCUCAACAACACUGAUAUCUUUCUGAACUAGAGGCAAUGUUGCACAUCUCAUCACUGUACAUGCACAAAUUCUACCCUCUUAUUUACUUUCAAAUUAGGCUAGACUAUGAGCUCCGGGAGUGGCCUAGUUGAGGUUUGUUGCCAGAGGCAUAGGUAAGCCAAAAACUCGGAUAAUCAAAACAGCUGCUACCAAGCAGUACAUCUAAAAGUAACAGCCUGUUUACAGGACUCUAGUUAGAGUCAAGCUGAACCUCCUUGUAGGAGAGGAGGGAGAGAGAGAAUUCCCACAAACUGCCUGGCCUAUUCCCACAUGGUCUGUGAUUGACAUAUCUCAACCCAUCCCUUGUGCACUGUAGAAAGAAAGCACUCCGUACUUGUAACUUGCGUGGUCCAGUAACUGCUAAUCUACUAAAAAUCACAAGGAGGAUCUGGAUAACACAUCAGUCCUUAGCAUAUACACUAGGAACACUAUUAGACACCAGCAUUGACACCCUUUCUGACAGCCUUGUGGGAAACAGUCAACACCCAGCCUUAGAGAGGCAAAUAUUGAAGGCUCUCCAGUUGCUAUAACACAAAGUGUUCAACUCCCAAAUGUUGAUAAGUACAACAUAUAGCUGCUGAAGAAGGGAAUGGUCCCAAAGGAAAUGCAGACUCUGUCUAUCAUAAACCUCUAUGUGUAUGUGAUUUGAAGUGAGGAGUUGAUGAUCUUACUAAAACCACUCCUUCACUCAGGUGUUAUGUAAUACUUCUGUUUAAAACAAGUACUUUUAAAAUGUAAUGAAUUAGAUCAAAGAGGAAUGAUAGGUGAAGUGUAGAAAGCAACUCUUUAGAUUAAUAAGAUUGCAUGCUUUCUUGAAGGGAUGAAAAUAUUCUAAUACUAAUACCUUACACAUCAAUAUAUGUGUAAUAUUUUCAUAGUGGGCUGUGUCUGAUUUAAAAUGCCAGCUGUUACAGAAGAGCCGUUGGCUUAGUGGUUGCAUGCCCCCGUCCUGUAUCAAAGAAGCACCUUCACAUAAGACCUCUUUGCAGUAGCUUGCCCUAAACCUUCAGUAUCCACCGUCAGUACAGGAGCCCUCACGGCUUGAAAACAAGUCCCAAAACAUUGACUAAUUCCAUGUUUAAACAAUCUCAGUCUCUUUACUCUUUAGCAUGUAAAUUGUUCUGUUGGAAGACAGGGUGCCUCUAAGAUUCUCCAAGAAGAGGAGAUGGGAAAUGGAGAAUGAGCAAGAAAUAUAUAGAACCUUGCACCUGUAGGUCAUUGGUCCAAAUCUGCAUGAAGGCAAUAGUGAUGAAAAGUUACCCUCUGAUGCCUUUGUGAAGUGAAUUUGGUGAGUCUCAGCCUAGUUUCUCAUCACAAUGAAUUUUCUUUUGAGUCUUAGCAAAGAUGCAAAAAGUGAGCGGGCAUGGAUACUAAAUAACCCUGUGACUCUGAUUAGACUACCAGUGCAUAUUCCAGUAGAACUUCUCAGUGGCAGUCUGUGAUUGAGAGGAGAGAAAGACAUCUCCGCCCCCCAGUAAACAUUGCUUGCCCACACCAGGUGUGUCUGUGUCCCCUGAGGGUCUGGGCAGUGAAUUUUUUAAAGAUAUUGAUUUAUUAUCAGGUAGAGCCAGGCACAUAGUGUAGUGUUACAGUUUAUGGCCUAAAUGCUUAGGGCUAUAGAAAGCCUGGAGUAGAAGAGAAAUAGUGGAUUUUUUGUGGUGGUGGCAGAGGUGGGGUGUCAGCCCCAAAGAGACUGUGCUAGGGGUAUGUAGAGCUUGAUGCUUCUGUUCAUGGCAGCCUGGGGGAAGGGCAUGACCGGUAGAUCUGUGGCUGUGUGGAUUCACUGGCCACAGCUAAUGUUAUUUUACUCUGUGACAGAAUCAUUGUCCCUCUCAGCUCCUAUCUACCCUAUAGGUCCUGUCCAAAGCCUGUUUAGUCAGGCUGUAUUCAUGAGAGCAGGAUUAGCCCUUUAUGGUCCUAACAGAUCUGCUUAACACUGUGUAAACACAGUAAAAUUUCACCAAAUACUCAGUUCCACCACCUCCCCUUGGAAAACUGUCAUGUUAGCAGCCAGGGCAUGUGCCCAUGGUGUGUGUGUGUGAGGCUCAAUUACCUUCUCUGCAUUGAGAUUUUAUGUGAAACAGAGACUGCCACUUCCAUUUCUCCUUAUGCUGUGGGCACCUGUGUUUGAUUCUAGCAUGUAAAAUGAAGGACACUGUGGGGGCAUCUUUUUCAUGUCCUCUUCCAGGACAAGAUGGAAUCCUCUGGCCUUAAUGGGCAUCUGUAAUCAGCUAGCUUUUGAGAUGUCUUUGCAGAAAAGCCAGGGACUGAAUGAGCCAUGGAGACUGACCUACCCUCUCCCUUCUAGAGAUGGCAGCAUCAGAUCAGGGUUGGGGCAGCUUUGCUGUGCAUCUACACUGUGCUCAACUGAGAACCCUUUCCCAGGGGUGCCAGUGUGGCACCGGUCACCAGUACUAAAUUCUCCUAUUUUUUUUAAUCAAACCCCAUGGAGGCAACUCGAGUAUGCAUGUCCUUUGCUUUGCUGUAAUGUAGCUAUAGAUGGCACUCCAGUAUCAGUUACUAGUUGCGCACAGCAGUUUCCAUGUUGAAGGCAUACAGCACUGUGACACUCUGAUUUGGGGGAGUAAUAUCAGUUCUGGCCAGUUUCUAAAAGGUACAUUUAUUUGGUUUCUGCAGUGAAUUAGUUGCACUGUGUGGACAAUAAUUAAUGGUGGGAAGGAGAGAAAUUUAAGGAAUGAGAGCAGGAUAACAGUUAAAGACAAUACAGUGGAAGCUUUACAAUGUAGGAAAUUCUGUUUCCAGUGUGAAAAAUAUUGACUUUAGGGGGAAAGCUAUUGGAAAAAUACUUUGAAAUCAAAGAGAUCUGAUUUUCCAGAAAGCUCUCUCUGCUCAUAUUAGGUACUUGUGUAUGUUAUUAGCAGGUGCUAACUCUCCAGGCUCUCUUCUCUGGUGCCUGAGACACCUGCAUUAAUGAUUUAGGGCCACAAGAUGUUGCCACAAGUCCUCUCUUGCUGUAGCCCAAAGAGUACAGAGCAGGAAUUUGUAUGAAGCUCCUGAGCAAGGUUGGUGUAUGGUAUUGACCAACUACGGGUACCAGGCAGGGGCUGUCACUGUCUCUGUUCCCUUCCUCCACUGAGGAUUUUGAGCUUGUGUGUGCAGAAUAGAGUAGUGUAUUUCAGAUACUAAGCAGAAGAAACAUUAGAAUUAGUGAGAAGUUAACACACAAGCGGGUGCAGCUAUUCUGCCCAUAUCUCUUCUCACAAAGAGUAGAGGGUCUUAAGUAGUGUAGACGACCUUGUGCAGACUUGGAUAAAUGUCACCCUGAUCUCUGUUUUGCCUCUGUGCACAGAUAGAUAGUCUCCAGGAUCCCUAUCAUCUUUCUUCUUCCUUAGCUCUGGUAGUUUAAACUCCACAGUUCUCAGCAUCAAGACUUUGUUGAAAUCCAUCUCUGUCUCCUUCCACAAGGUUAGCAGAGAUCAUUGCCACGCAAUGCAAAAAUGUAGACACUUUUCAGGUUUUAAAAUGUUCCCCAUUCACUCUUCUUCCUCUGUUUGACCCCCAAUAUCUGAAAUACACUGAAAUCUCUGACCUUACUCUCUUUUGCUUGACAUACAAAUCAUGGGCAUGCUUUAGAGAUGUGCAUACACACACACAAAUCAUCUGCAGCCCGCAAGCCUGUAGUGUUUUAGUCUUUGUUUGAUGUGAAGAUUUAACCAGUUUGGAGCCUGGUUAAUUUUAAUGGUGCAAAAUAGAGCAUGACAAAUGCAUUGCUGUAUGUACUACAGUGAGUACUGAGAGUUGCUAAUAAAUGCGGUGGUGUCCUAUUUUUAAAAAACAAACCCUGCUUCAUAAGGGGAGGGAGGAUGUAGGUACCCAGAUCCUGGUAGUUGAGCCCAAAAGCUUUUGGACCAAAUGCAGCCCUGGUAAAACUCCACUAGUUGCAAUCAGGAAUUAAAUUUUCCCUUCUUGUUCAAUGCCUGCUGUAAAGUAUAACUAUGUUAAGUGUCACAGUAUCCUACCUACUCUUACAGACUAAGGUCUGACCAUUACUAUCCCCUUGUGCUGAAUCCACCAAGUGAAAGUCUGAGCAGGACGUGGUGAUGGACACAUUCAGCACCUUUGUUUCAUUCAGAGAUAGUCGCACCAUGUUCUGUGCAGGGGAUAGAAAACAAUAUCCAUAUCCAUAAACUCCCUAUGAUGAAGUGGGAAUUUUCAGUAAUUUUAUGAAUCCUAGGCAUGCCUCAGUUUCCCUCUGCAUGUGGCAUUGCUAACCAGUGGGUGCAAAAGCAUGAACAUUGCUCCUGGAGUGGCACAGCAGACAGGAGGUGUGUGUAUCACCUUGCUGUUGGGGGGGGGGGGGGGGCAAGGGGGGAAUGAAUAGGAUCAUUAACGAGCUGGCUGAAACCAGCCCAAAUCUACAUAGGGUCCAGCAAGAGAAAGAGAUGCCCCAACAACUCCACAUUCAAUACCUAACAGCAGGAAACCCCAGCAAGUGGGACUUGUGAAUGAAGCUGAAAAACAAGGUGGACAGGUAAGUGGAAGAAGGGUGUGUGUGUUUGGUUUGGUUUUGGUUUUUUUAGGAUCUCAGGUGCCUGGACAGGGCAGACAAAGGGUGGAACAGAGAGAAAUGGAGGUGGAGCCCAUCACAGCUUGGCUGGCCCAUCAGGGCACUGGAUUGACCAGGGUGGACAAUAGCUUAACUUCUGCCUCUCUGUGUUAACCUCUGGACUUUAAGUUUCUGAAUGCCAGAUGGGGAAACGGAGGCAUGGAGAGCUUAUGCAACUUGCCCAAGGCAACACAACAGUGCUAUAAAUAAAGCUGCCUAGAUCCUUCCAUCCAAAGAUCUCACAACACAUAGUAAAAAUUAUCUAGUUUGUUAUGCUUGGACAAUGAAAAGCAAAAAAGUCACUUUCACUUUUUUUGUAAUCAAUUUAACCUUCAGGUCUCAGUGCUGCAGUGUUUGGGUCUCAAUUCUCUAUGGGCAAGCUUAUUCUUAAAAACCCCUGAUUUCACUGGAAAUUUUUAAAAAUGUGAAAAUGUUCCA